GUUGGUAGGGUAAUAGCCUACCAAGGCUUUGACGGGUAGGGGACCUGAGAGGGUGGCCCCCCACAAUGGAACUGAAACACGGUCCAUACACCUACGGGUGGCAGCAGUAGGGAAUAUUAGAAAUGGACGAAAGUCUGAUCUAGCGACACCGCGUGUGCGAAGAAGGCCUUCGGGUUGUAAAGCACUUUUUGGAAGGAAUAGGAAGGAAGGUACUUCCAGAAUAAGUCUCGGCUAACUACGUGCCAGCAGCCGCGGUAACACGUAGGAGGCAGACGUUAUCCGGAUUUACUGGGCGUAAAGCGCGUGUAGGUGGUUUUGUAAGUAGGGCGUGAAAGCUCCCGGCUCAACUGGGAGAGGCCGUUCUAAACUGCAGAACUAGAGGAUGGUAGAGGGAGGUGGAAUUCCAGGUGUAGCGGUGGAAUGCGCAGAUAUCUGGAGGAACACCAGUGGCGAAAGCGGCCUCCUGGACCAUUCCUGACACUCAGACGCGAAAGCUAGGGUAGCAAACGGGAUUAGAGACCCCGGUAGUCCUAGCCCUAAACGAUGUAGACUAGACGUCGGUGGUGUAAUAGCUGUCGGUGUCCAAGCUAACGCGAUAA
This 599-nucleotide ribosomal RNA is filed under the name uncultured bacterium. RNAcentral's name for it is "bacterial SSU rRNA". It matches the Rfam family "Bacterial small subunit ribosomal RNA", at positions 248 to 863 of the family's 1533-position model. The record is from RNAcentral.